Notolabrus celidotus (New Zealand spotty) is the source of this 1160-nucleotide long non-coding RNA. RefSeq lists it as uncharacterized. The transcript has 2 exons. Lineage: Eukaryota; Metazoa; Chordata; Actinopteri; Labriformes; Labridae. The record is from RefSeq and is a predicted model, not a curated record.
GUGGUUAAGAAAGUGGUUCACCGAAGUAGAUAUGUCUAGAAGUAGCAAGAGGAAGGAUAAGUGAGGGCGGAAAUUGAGACUGUUGACUUCAAGUUUGGGGCACCGUGUACACAAUGAAGGAGAAGAGGAAGAAAAGGAGAGCGUGCUUCAGCGGAAAUGUACCAACCUUAUAAGAAGACGAUGUGUUGAAUUCACCGACGUUGCAACCAGAUGUUGACAGUAAACAAUGCCAAAGAAAAACAAAAGAAGACUAUGAAAGCGGAUUACUGAGGCCAGACGCGCCUAAAGCAGACUGGGGAGCGGGUCGUAUCUGAAACUUAAAGAUUUGAAAUUACAAAUUUUUGUGUGAAGCACAUCAGGUGGUGGCAAUUCAAUGCAAAUAUAUCACGAUGUAAACAGGCCAGUCAUCUUGCUGUUAGCCAAUCUGCCUGGAGAGGACAUGGAGACUGCGCAAGACAAAAUGUACCUGAUGCGCAAAAGACUUGCAAAAUCCAAAGUCUAUGCACUUUGCUGCUAUUCACUCCCACAGCAGUCGAGCUUGUUCACGUAUAUCUAUUUCAAGGAAGGUCAAUACACUUGCUUGACGCUCACCUGCACACCAGUUGCAUGUGGAAUAAGUUUCUCCACUUUGAAGAUUGGCAGUAUCAAACCCCAGGAGCAGAUGUGUCACAGGAUACAAUGGAGGCCCUUAUGCUGACAACAACAGAGAACGAGAUCCUCCUGACCUUUGCUGUGAUGAUGUAAUCGAGGAGUUUAAGGAGAAAGGAAAUUUUUCUCAGCGAGUUAACUUCAUAAAGGUUGGAUGAGGAGCUGUCGCCAUGUGUUCCCGUCUCGAUGAGCCGAGAUGCCUUUCGGGUGCUGCGAGUUGAUGAAAUGCAAAGAAGGUUACAUUGCUCAGUGCUUUUUCUGACCCUGUUCAGGCAUCUGAGGGAAGAUGCGAAAAGCAUGUGGGGAACAUUUCAGCACAUGAUGUCCUCCUAUUAGGCUCUGUGUCCUAAAGAGAGGCAGUGUUGAAGAGGGCAUGAAUGGGAUGAAAACAUUCUGUGGGAGGCCAGAAGAAUGUAACACACAGAGUUCAUGAGAGAGAGAGAAAUGGCAUCUGCAACCAGCUCAUGUCUGCAAUGUUAGAUCUGAAAAUAAAUUCUGUAGAGUAUCAGUUA